Molecule: unclassified non-coding RNA, 203 nt
Filed under: uncultured Amanitaceae
Lineage: Eukaryota; Fungi; Basidiomycota; Agaricomycetes; Agaricales; Amanitaceae
Description: sequence contains ITS2
Source: RNAcentral
AAACUCUCAAAACUCCAGAUUUAAUUAUGUGGUGGUUUUGGACUAUGGGAUUGCCGGUUCUUAUUGUGGACCAGCUCUCCUGAAAUGCAUGAGUGGGGCUAAUGCAAUAAUAUGCUCUAUGGUGUGAUAAGACUUAAAUGUUGAACACCCUUUGAGUUGUUUGUAUAACCUGCUAUGUAACAGUCCGUUGGACAAAUUGACAA